RNAcentral lists this non-coding RNA (31 nucleotides) under Rattus norvegicus (Norway rat). The record is from RNAcentral. Lineage: Eukaryota; Metazoa; Chordata; Mammalia; Rodentia; Muridae.
UACAGGGUCUGAUGCACUUGUUCAGUCCUUU